AGCCACAUCACAUUCAAAUACUAGUUCCCGUAUGAUCACCAAAGUUGAGCAACAUCAAGCUUGGUCAGUAGCUAGAUGGGUGACCGCUUGGGAAUACUAGGUGCUGUGA
This is a non-coding RNA of Acanthosepion pharaonis, 109 nucleotides long. The record is from the annotation of a GenBank genome assembly. NCBI's taxonomy places the organism in Eukaryota, Metazoa, Mollusca, Cephalopoda, Sepiida, Sepiidae.